Molecule: transfer RNA, 19 nt
Filed under: Salvelinus alpinus alpinus
Lineage: Eukaryota; Metazoa; Chordata; Actinopteri; Salmoniformes; Salmonidae
Also listed under: 3 other names
Description: partial tRNA-Phe
Source: RNAcentral
GCUGGCGUAGCUUAAUUAA